This 3546-nucleotide long non-coding RNA is filed under the name Olea europaea subsp. europaea. The record is from RNAcentral. Lineage: Eukaryota; Viridiplantae; Streptophyta; Magnoliopsida; Lamiales; Oleaceae.
UGAGAACGGACGAUUACGAAGGCACGACAACUUUGAAUUUUUCUCUCAGCCUCUCAUUGUCUCACUCUCUUCUCUGUGAGCCCUUGAUAUGGUCCUGCCUGUGUUGCCUUUCUUACAUCGAUAACAUCAGUGAAAGCUAAAUCCCAAUUUAUCAAUUCACGAUUACUUCAUUCUCAAAUUAUACCUCAAUGUCCUCUCUCGUCCCUAUCUGUUGCCAUUGCUACGGAGAUACUCAUUUUGUUUAUAUUUUUUUUUCUUGUUCUUUUAAAAUAUUUUAAGAUGGAGAAUCUGAUUUAGGGUGAGCUGUGGAGCCAAAGGGUUUUGUGCCUUCACUGUCAUAUGCUGGGUAGUGGGAGGUGGGAUUAUUUUCAGAUUUUGCUAGGAUUAGGUAAUCAUGUUAUGGGAUUAUGAUUUAUUGCUCAAAUAUUGAAUGAGAUUAGGAUUAUAUUGAAUCGGAUUCUGGGAAUAGGAUUUAUUGCUAAUAUAUUCUAGUUCCUUUUAAUUAUUGAAUGGGAAUCAAAAAUGGGAUUAGGAUUUAGGAUUAUAUUCAAACUGUGUUUCUAACUCAAAAGCUAAAUAUAAAGAACUAGUUUGGUAAAUUUUAGUGUUUGCUUCUAAAUCUUUCAACGGUUUAAAAAUUUUUUGGGUAAGUGAACGAAAAUAUCUAAUUUUCCUUUUGCUGGAACAAUAUGUAUAAUGCUUAACCUUAUAUGCUAGUACAUAAAUUUCCCUUUUGCUGCAACAAAUAGAACUUAUAUUGUUAGGCAUCAUUAGUAAACAACAAAAGAUAGGGACUGCUGCAAGUUAACAAUUAUCUCGUUAAAUGGCCAUAAAUUGCGGACCCUGCAAGAGAUAGAUUUGAGGUCUGAUAAAUGUAUUUUUACCAUUUACAAAUUUAGUUGUGUAAACAUGGCUUGUUAGUUGUUGGCACAAUAUCGAAAAGUAUUUGUCCUUGCUCUAUUUGGGUCAGAUAUUAUGCUACAACUCAAGCUCCCUAAUGGCCUCCCGUUUCUUGCUUACUUCUCUAUCUAUUUAAGUUGGGAUGAGUUUCUUUUCUUCAUUCUAGGCUCACAAGUUGUGAAGAAAUCAAGUUCAUUUCUUUCCCUACUUAAAUGCCCCAUGGUAGGCACAUUCUACAAAAGUCGUGCACCUGGUGAACCACCAUUCGUGAAGGUAAUUGAUAUAAAUUUGAUGAUGGAAAAAGGAAAAAAAUGAAGGUAGGAACGGAUUUAUAUUUUUAAGGUAGAUGUGUGUAUCAAUUUUUUGUAUACAACACAUGCUCAAAAGAAAUUAUCUUGUCAUUGGCUUUAUCCUUGUUUAGACUAUUUCACUGCUUUAUUUCUUCUUUCACAAUUCAAGGCUUCACAUCUCUCUACAUUCGCAUCGUUACAUGGUUAUAUAAUCAUAAACUACAACCCUAUAUCAGUUGAUACCCUGAGUAGCUGCAUUUGAAUGGUCAUUUUAUUCUAGCAUCAUAAUUUAUUCCAUAUAUCAGCUGCUAGAUGACACUAUAUCAGUGUUGACACUGUGAAUUCUCUGUCUAAUCAUCAUUGGUUGAUGGCAUAAGUGAUAUACUAUUUUAAUCUCUCUUCACUUUAAGUGUGUCUUGAUUUUUCUUACACCUGUUUACAACCUUUGUUUUUUAUUGAACCAUAGAGUAAGCAGAGUUAAAAGUGCGGUAUUAAGGAAUAAGAUGGUAUGUCUUGUAUUUAAGGGGGGUUGCAGCAUGCUUUUUACUCCCAGGGACGUGUUCUGCAGGGAAUGAGAUUAUAGUUAGAAUUGGAAAUGAAAGUCUCCGAUAAAUUCCUUUCUUUACCUGUACUAAAAUUUGUUGAAAUAUUUCUUUUGCUACUAUGUAUACUAAACUACUUCAUUAUUAAAAGUUGAAAAGAGUAUUGGAAUGUAGAGGAAAAAUUUUCUUCACAAAUCCCAGAGAACUUCAUCAGAACAAGGGUACGCGAGUAUGACCCCAUCGAACAAAAUUCAUAAGCCAAUUAGUAUGUAUCCAAGAAAUAUAAAACUUUCUUCUCCUAAAAGCAAUUGGCAGUUUACUAGAAUUAACAUAAGUUUUCACAAAUGUGUACUUUGUUGCGUAUCUGAAUAAAGGAGUACAUCUCUCCAACAAAAAAAAAGGACAGCAAAACUAUUUACUUUUGACGUACUAUUAUUAGUUAACGUCCAUAUUUCAUUUUCUAAACCUACGAAGUUGUAAAGGCUAUAGGGUUCGGCACAGUCAAAAUAAGUUGCAACUAGCUAACUUUUAGUAGGUUGGCUCCUGACUGAAUUUAUUUUAUUUAUUUAUUUAUUUUCACAGUAUUAUAUACUAGCUAUAGAAACUAAAGCAACCUAAAAUAGUGCAGGUGGAGGAAGUACCUAGUAUAUAAUAUUGUAAAAAAGACCUAUUUAGCUUAUCUCAGUGAAAAAGUUUUCUUACCAUAACAAUAUAAAUACUUAUGACUUUUCCGAUUUCUUUCUAGGUAAACGAAGAGUUUCAAUCGACAGUAGAAAAGUUGGUUUCCCAGAAUUGGUGAGGAUUUAAACGAUGAUCCAGUUUAUACAGGGAGGGAAAUUAAAGGAAAAGAAGACAUUGAUAUUAAAGUUGCUCUAGUCGAUAAUUUAACUGAGGAUCCUAUUGACUCUGAGCCUGAAUCCUCCAAGACAAAUGUAUAGACUAUUUAUAGGAGAAUUGAUGUCUAGACCUACCAUAAUCCUAUCAUGAUAGUUUGACUAAUUGAAGUAAUACCAACUACCAAGCAAUUUUGUGAUUAGGGACAUGGCAUAUAAAGUGCAUUGCACAUACUAAGAAAAUAUUAAACCUAUUAGAUGGAACUUGGAAGGAUAUAUAUAUAGCCACAAUUUUAUGAUUACAGACAUAAAUGGGAGAGAACUUUAGAAUUUAGCAUUUACAAUAGAAUAAUAAACAAAAUAGGUAAAUCUUUGGAAGCAUACUAUAAUAAAAAUGUGAUUAAGGAAGUUUUAAAUCAAAAUCGAAUGCUCAAAGUGUAGAUACCUUAUCAAGAAGAAAACAGAAAAUGGACAUUUAUAUUCCUCUUAUUACUAGAAAGGAACAAAUAGCAAAUUCUUUUGACAAAAGAAGUGUAGAGACCUUUAUUUCUCUCAAAGAAGAAAUGAUAAUUCUUUCCCCCCUUUUUUUGCAUAUCUUCUAUGGCUUACUAAUUCUUUGAAGAUUGUACUCUACGAAUUCAGGACUUGCAAUUCUUUGGAGAUUGUCACUAAUUCUUGACUUACUACUGGAUUAUUGCAUAAAAAAGGACUUACAAUUGUUAAGAGCAAUGAGGGUUGGGGUGAGCAGCACAUGACACUAAAGCUUGGUACAAAGGCAUCCUAAAAUAUAAUUAACUUCAAUAUGAAUUAGAUGAAGAGAAAUUAGUUAUUUUUUUAAUAUCAUGCUUGUAUUUUUUACAUUAUGUAUUCAAGUGUAUAGGAGAAUAUUGUCAUACUUCACAUUAUGUAUUCAAAAAUUUAUAAUGAGAUUAUCGAUUUUUAUACAAUUCUAAAAUUUGUCAUUUUCAAUUUUGCGAGUCA